This 497-nucleotide ribosomal RNA is filed under the name uncultured bacterium. RNAcentral describes it as "partial 16S ribosomal RNA". It matches the Rfam family "Bacterial small subunit ribosomal RNA", at positions 28 to 507 of the family's 1533-position model. The record is from RNAcentral.
GAUGAACGCUGGCGGCGUGCCUAAUACAUGCAAGUCGAGCGAACAGACGAGGAGCUUGCUCCUUUGACGUUAGCGGCGGACGGAUGAGUAACACGUGGGUAACCUACCUAUAAGACUGGGAUAACUUCGGGAAACCGGAGCUAAUACCGGAUAAUAUUUCGAACCGCAUGGUUCGAUAGUGAAAGAUGGCUCUGCUAUCACUUAUAGAUGGACCUGCGCCGUAUUAGCUAGUUGGUAAGGUAACGGCUUACCAAGGCAACGAUACGUAGCCGACCUGAGAGGGUGAUCGGCCACACUGGAACUGAGACACGGUCCAGACUCCUACGGGAGGCAGCAGUAGGGAAUCUUCCGCAAUGGGCGAAAGCCUGACGGAGCAACGCCGCGUGAGUGAUGAAGGUCUUCGGAUCGUAAAACUCUGUUAUUAGGGAAGAACAAACGUGUAAGUAACUGUGCACGUCUUGACGGUACCUAAUCAGAAAGCCACGGCUAACUACGUG